This 497-nucleotide ribosomal RNA is filed under the name uncultured bacterium. Its description in RNAcentral is "partial 16S ribosomal RNA". It matches the Rfam family "Bacterial small subunit ribosomal RNA", at positions 28 to 507 of the family's 1533-position model. The record is from RNAcentral.
GAUGAACGCUGGCGGCGUGCCUAAUACAUGCAAGUCGAGCGAACAGAUAAGGAGCUUGCUCCUUUGACGUUAGCGGCGGACGGGUGAGUAACACGUGGAUAACCUACCUAUAAGACUGGGAUAACUUCGGGAAACCGGAGCUAAUACCGGAUAACAUAUUGAACCGCAUGGUUCAAUAGUGAAAGGGGGCUUUGCUGUCACUUAUAGAUGGAUCCGCGCCGUAUUAGCUAGUUGGUAAGGUAACGGCUUACCAAGGCAACGAUACGUAGCCGACCUGAGAGGGUGAUCGGCCACACUGGAACUGAGACACGGUCCAGACUCCUACGGGAGGCAGCAGUAGGGAAUCUUCCGCAAUGGGCGAAAGCCUGACGGAGCAACGCCGCGUGAGUGAUGAAGGUCUUCGGAUCGUAAAACUCUGUUAUCAGGGAAGAACAAAUGUGUAAGUAACUGUGCACAUCUUGACGGUACCUGAUCAGAAAGCCACGGCUAACUACGUG